RNAcentral lists this long non-coding RNA (1263 nucleotides) under Ananas comosus (pineapple). Its description in RNAcentral is "long non-coding RNA (ACOM_LNC032046)". Lineage: Eukaryota; Viridiplantae; Streptophyta; Magnoliopsida; Poales; Bromeliaceae. The record is from RNAcentral.
UCCUCAUUAACUAUAUCCAUACACCAUCUCUCUCAAUUCUUCUGAACGGUCUUUUUUUUUUUAUAUAUAAUUACCCCACAAUCUCUAUAACUUCCUCCAAUUCCGAUUUUUAUUUCCACAAACAAUCUCUCUCAAUUCUUUUCAAUAUCCAUAACUUUCUCCGAUUUUUUUUUAAUUACUCCUCAAUUCUUAUUCAACACUGUGAUCUCUGACAAUUCUUUUCAAUAUCCAUCAACUUCCUCCGAUUUUAUUUCCCCACACGAUAUCUUUCACUGCAAUCCAAUUUUCACACUCUAAUGGCUAUGAUGACUAAUAGGAUUAAUUUUAUUUAUACAUUUUCUCCAAUCUUAAAUUAUAUGGAUACUUGCCUUCUGCCAACCUCAAAUUACAAAGAUACUUGUUUAAAUGUGUCUGUGACGCCCAACUUUUUAAAAGAUCAUCUAUUCUAGAACUAUUGUAGCUCUAUCACGCUCAACUCCUAUUAACCUUGUAGGCUUAACCACCAUCCAAAAUAGUAUAGCCGGAUUAAGAGUGUCACAUUUUUUUCUCUUUAAAUUCUAAUGUUCUCAUCAAAUCUAAGCACACUCACAAGUACCAAAUAGUGUAAGAUUCAUUGUCAUUCAGAUUCUAACUUAACAUGUCAUUUUCAGACCCUAACUUUAACUUGUGAUUUAGAUCUGACUAAAUCGAGAUUCAUCUCACAUUUUCGACUAGUGAUUAGCUCUAAUAUCUAUACUCUUAUAUGAAUUCCCAAUAUGAAAUGAUGACGUGGCAAACUCUCAUUUUUUUAAUUUACGUUUCAUCUCCACUUCUAAAUACUCAACCCUUCACCUCUCCACAUUUAAUUAUAUUCAUCAUAUUCCACCAAUUAGUGAGCUUAAUUUGUAACUCCAAUCCACUCCCCUCCACCAUCAAUCCCCCCACCCCCUCUUUUGCAUGAUAUGUUAUUAUCCCCAAUAUGAAAUAAUGACUUGGCAAGCUCUCUUUUUUUUAAUUUACGUUUCAUCUCCACUUCUAAAUGCUCAACCCUUCACCUCUCCACAUUUAAUUACAUGCUUCAUAUUCAACCAAUUAGUGAGCUUAAUUUGUAACUCCAAUCCACUCCCCUCCACCAUUAAUCCCCCCACCUUCUCUUUUUUGCAUGACAUGUUAUUUUUCAUGCAAAAAAGAAGAUUAUCAUCUAAUCUCUCACCUCACACUCAUCUCAUUCUCUCUAUCUCAUUGUGUUAACAAAGAUUAUGAGGAUAAUGAAGAAGAAGAUUA